This 516-nucleotide long non-coding RNA is filed under the name Trifolium pratense (red clover). RNAcentral's name for it is "long non-coding RNA (TPRA_LNC012356)". The record is from RNAcentral. Lineage: Eukaryota; Viridiplantae; Streptophyta; Magnoliopsida; Fabales; Fabaceae.
CAUAAGCUAACAGGCGGCUAAGCAUGCACAUGCAUCAGAUAUGCAGUCACUACUAGAUGACGAUGCUUAAACACAAUGACAGCGGGAUGUAGGUCAGGAUGACGUAGGGCAGCAAGACGCAUGUCAUCAAAGAGAUUCACCUGAUGUAGCCAACUCCAAGUUAUGAUCUGGUAUGAUUAGCUUGAAGCAACUAAUUUGCAAAUGGUGUCUGCUUGACAUGGAUUAUCUGAAACAACACUCUUUCAACAAGCUUAAAUGGGCAGUACAAACAUUGAGAAGUUGAAGUUCAAGUUGUCUGAUGAGAGGAAGAAAAGGAAUUGGCUUAUCAUGAUUUUGUUGUUAUCAUGAGAAUUGUUUAUUGCAUAUUUAAUUACUUAGUAUUUACGGGGAAACUUAUGGAUUUUACUUGUAAUGUCAUGUACUUGAAAUAAUGUUAUAUGUUACUCUUGUUUUCUGUUUUGAUUGUUUUUUUAACAACUAUGUAAGGUUGAAGAUUAAUAUCAUAUUGUGUGUGGG